Sinocyclocheilus anshuiensis is the source of this 1581-nucleotide long non-coding RNA. RefSeq lists it as uncharacterized. The record is from RefSeq and is a predicted model, not a curated record. Lineage: Eukaryota; Metazoa; Chordata; Actinopteri; Cypriniformes; Cyprinidae. The transcript is spliced from 2 exons.
AAAUCUUGGACCAAAUGCUGACCAUCUUUUUAAAUUAAUUGUCAGUUUUUUCCCUUGCAGUGUCUUUCAGUUCAAGUCUGAGAUUAAAAUGUGGCUACCAAGGAAAAUUUGUUUUCCUUUUUUAUUGGUUCAUGCAUCAUGAUAGCAUUUUACCAUUUACUCUGAGGAAAUGCUAAUAACUGCUUGUUUCCCCUCCAGUGAGAAUGUGACAGAGGAGGAUUUACGACUGCUCUUCUCAAACUCCGGUGGUACAGUGAAAGCGUUCAAGUUUUUCCAAGAUCGCAAAAUGGCUCUGCUGCAGAUGUCCACAGUGGAGGAGGCGAUUCAGACACUCAUCGACCUUCACAAUUAUGACAUGGGCCGUGGCCACCGCCUGAGAGUGUCCUUCUCAAAGUCCACCAUCUGAGGAUGCCCUGGUGCUAUGUCACCUUUCCUGUCUCUCUCCCAGGAGCCUCAAGUCGAAUUAAUUUUUACCAGUCAUUCCUUAACACCAUAUCAAGAACUUCAAUGAGAAUGGCCCUUAAAGGAACACUCGCUCUGUAUCUGAUCCUUCUAUUGUUUGUGUAUGGCCAGCUGUUAUUCUGUUUUAGGAUGGAUUGACAAAAAUGUGCCUUACUUAGCAAAAUAGCACCAUCCCUUUGCUCUCGUUGUUACACAUUAUAGAGGCGUAGGCACAUUAUGUGUGAUGAUACAGAAAACGUAACCUUUACAGUCACCUUGCUUUGUUGUUUUGAUGGUUUUUGAAAGUGAUAGUUUUUGCUCUUGCCCAAUGUGGCCUCACCUUGUCAUUGUUCAAAACCAAUUCAGUUCAAGCUUUGAAAGCUAGUCGGCUUGCUUUGAUUCAGAGGCAGAAGCUCAUUUUUAUGAUCUAUUGAAUUGAAUCUGAACACAAGUAACAGGAUUUGAUGAAACAUACUCCAAGUUGUAAAUUAUCUCGUGAAUUUGUUUUAUUUUCGGGCUGUAGUGUUUUUUUUUUUCUUCUUUGAUCAGGCACCCAAGGUACUUUUUGUAAUUGAAACCUGUGGUAAACAAAACUCUGACAGUGGGGAGCACAAUCUGUGACAUAUAGUACCUGCUUGGAUAUUUUUCACUCACUUUUGCUUCAGUGAAUUCUGUUACCCAUUUUUUUUUUUUUUAGAUGAAAAUCAGAGCAUGUGCUGAUGGAUCUCGGCAGUUGCAUGUGUCAGAUUGACCAUGUUUGAUGUUGUGAUGUCACAUUAAUGUAGGGACUGUUGGGACCAAAGUAAAUGUGCCUUUAGUCUUACUUUAUUCUGCAUUGUACAAAAUGUUUUAUUCAACCUCUGGAAUAUUUGUAUCAAUGGAGACAAAAAAAAAAUAAUAAAAAAUCGGACUUUCCAACAGGCAUCACUCAUAUAAAUGAUCAUUAAUUGUCCUUGUUCGUGGUUGUACGAGAAUCGCUUACUGAUUCUACUGAAAAUGGACAUUUUUGUGGUCUCGGCCUGGGAAACAAGGGGAAGGGGGGUGUUCUGUACAUUUUCUACAUGAAUUAAGUUUUUACAUCUUUAGGAAUGUAAAGUUCAGUAUAGAAGCGGCACAAUUAAAAGUUCUUUUUUCUACCAA